GACGAACGCUGGCGGCGUGCCUAAUACAUGCAAGUUGAGCGAUGAAGAUUGGUGCUUGCACCAAUUUGAAGAGCAGCGAACGGGUGAGUAACGCGUGGGGAAUCUGCCUUUGAGCGGGGGACAACAUUUGGAAACGAAUGCUAAUACCGCAUAACAACUUUAAACAUAAGUUUUAAGUUUGAAAGAUGCAAUUGCAUCACUCAAAGAUGAUCCCGCGUUGUAUUAGCUAGUUGGUGAGGUAAAGGCUCACCAAGGCGAUGAUACAUAGCCGACCUGAGAGGGUGGUCGGCCACAUUGGGACUGAGACACGGCCCAAACUCCUACGGGAGGCAGCAGUAGGGAAUCUUCGGCAAUGGACGAAAGUCUGACCGAGCAACGCCGCGUGAGUGAGGAAGGUUUUCGGAUCGUAAAACUCUGUUGGUAGAGAAGAACGUUGGUGAGAGUGGAAAGCUCAUCAAGUGACGGUAACUACACAGAAAGGGACGGCUAACUACGUG
RNAcentral lists this ribosomal RNA (497 nucleotides) under uncultured bacterium. RNAcentral describes it as "partial 16S ribosomal RNA". It matches the Rfam family "Bacterial small subunit ribosomal RNA", at positions 28 to 507 of the family's 1533-position model. The record is from RNAcentral.